RNAcentral lists this ribosomal RNA (375 nucleotides) under uncultured bacterium. RNAcentral describes it as "bacterial SSU rRNA". It matches the Rfam family "Bacterial small subunit ribosomal RNA", at positions 105 to 496 of the family's 1533-position model. The record is from RNAcentral.
GGUGAGUAACACGUAAGCAACCUGCCUAUCAGAGGGGAACAACAGUUAGAAAUGACUGCUAAUACCGCAUAUGCCUUAGAAUCACAUGGUUCAAAAGGGAAAGGAGCAAUCCGCUGAUAGAUGGGCUUGCGUCUGAUUAGCUAGUUGGUGGGGUAAUGGCCUACCAAGGCAACGAUCAGUAGCCGAACUGAGAGGUUGAACGGCCACAUUGGGACUGAGAUACGGCCCAGACUCCUACGGGAGGCAGCAGUCGGGAAUAUUGCGCAAUGGAGGAAACUCUGACGCAGUGACGCCGCGUGCAGGAAGAAGGAUUUCGGAUUGUAAACUGCUUUAGACGGGGAAGAACAAAGACAGCACCUGUAGAAUAAGCUCCGG